GACGAACCGUGCGAACGUUAUUCGGAAUCACUGGGCUUAAAGGGCGCGUAGGCGGGCUCGCCAGUCCGGGGUGAAAUCCCACGGCCCAACCGUGGAAGUGCCUUGGAUACUGCGAGCCUCGAGGGGGAUAGGGGCGUGCGGAACUCAGGGUGGAGCGGUGAAAUGCGUAGAUAUCCUGAGGAACACCGGUGGCGAAAGCGGCGCGCUGGGCGUAGUCUGACGCUGAGGCGCGAAAGCGUGGGGAGCGAACAGG
Molecule: ribosomal RNA, 253 nt
Filed under: uncultured bacterium
Lineage: Bacteria
Description: partial 16S ribosomal RNA
Rfam family: Bacterial small subunit ribosomal RNA
Source: RNAcentral